ACUCUUAGCGGUGGAUCACUUGGCUCGUGGAUCGAUGAAGAACGCAGCUAGCUGCGAUAAAUAGUGCGAAUUGCAGACGCAUUGAGCACAAAGAUUUCGAACGCACAUUGCACCAUCGGGUUGAUUCCCGAUGGUACGUCUGGCUGAGGGUCGA
RNAcentral lists this ribosomal RNA (154 nucleotides) under Okapinema japonica. RNAcentral describes it as "5.8S rRNA". It matches the Rfam family "5.8S ribosomal RNA". Rfam says of the family: 5.8S ribosomal RNA (5.8S rRNA) is a component of the large subunit of the eukaryotic ribosome. It is transcribed by RNA polymerase I as part of the 45S precursor that also contains 18S and 28S rRNA. Lineage: Eukaryota; Metazoa; Nematoda; Chromadorea; Rhabditida; Acuariidae. The record is from RNAcentral.